This 253-nucleotide ribosomal RNA is filed under the name uncultured bacterium. RNAcentral describes it as "partial 16S ribosomal RNA". It matches the Rfam family "Bacterial small subunit ribosomal RNA", at positions 524 to 776 of the family's 1533-position model. The record is from RNAcentral.
UACGGAGGGUGCGAGCGUUGUCCGGAAUCAUUGGGCGUAAAGGGCGCGUAGGUGGCUUCUUAAGCGUGCGGUGAAAGCCUGGGGCUCAACCCCGGGUCGGCCGUGCGAACUGGGGAGCUGGAGCACUGUAGAGGCAGGCGGAAUUCCGGGUGUAGCGGUGGAAUGCGUAGAGAUCCGGAAGAACACCGGUGGCGAAGGCGGCCUGCUGGGCAGUUGCUGACACUGAGGCGCGACAGCGUGGGGAGCAAACAGG